Molecule: long non-coding RNA, 748 nt
Organism: Lotus japonicus
Lineage: Eukaryota; Viridiplantae; Streptophyta; Magnoliopsida; Fabales; Fabaceae
Exons: 3
Source: RefSeq, a predicted model, not a curated record
UCUCACUCUCAGGUUCUCACCAUGGUCUCCGAUGGUUUUCACUCUUAGGUUCUCACCAUGGCCUCCGAUGAAGACUAGGGUGAUGCCCAGAACUCGGCGAUUCACCAUGGCCGAUGAAGACUAUGAUGAUGUUGACAUGGGUAAUCACCAAUGGCCUUGACUGGAAGGCCUUGACUCUAGGCCAUCAGGAACAAUUGAGAAUCCUGAGGGCAGUAGGUGGGCAGUAUGGCAAGGUUGCUUGAAUCACAUCCUGUCAUCACAGACUGCAUACCAGUAUUGUGCACUAGAGGACACUUGACUUCAAAAAGUGAUGUUUAUAGCUUUGGAGUUGUGUUGCUUGAGAUUUUAACAGGAAGAAGAUCGAGGGACAAAAAGCGCCCGAGCGGGGGACAAAGUCUUGUUUCAUGGGCUAGGCCAUAUUUAGCAGACAAGAAUGAUGGAAGAGUUAUGAUACAUUGAUUUUCUGUAAGCUCUUUUAUAAGAGAGCUAACACUUACCAUUUGCUAAUGUUGUAAUUGAGAAAUCCGGUAUGUAUAUGGAAGGCCUCGCGUCUUAGCAAAUUGUUUGCAGCUACCUGAAUCAAUAGUGUCUAGCAGUGGAAAUAACAUUUUUCUACUUUAGUGCUAAGAUUUUUAUGCUUCAAUUUAAUUCUUUUGAGACAAAUCAUAGUUCUAGUAUGUACAAAAGAUUUGUUUGAGUAUGCUUUAUUCAAUAUAUAAACUACUGGAGACAUAAUCGUUGCAUGCCA